Molecule: long non-coding RNA, 1823 nt
Filed under: Panax ginseng (ginseng)
Lineage: Eukaryota; Viridiplantae; Streptophyta; Magnoliopsida; Apiales; Araliaceae
Description: long non-coding RNA (PGIN_LNC006924)
Source: RNAcentral
AAGAUCAGGAAUCUCUGUCCCAUCGCCGGUCCCAUCCUCCAUAGUCUCAUCAGCAUCAGCUCGGAGAUCAUCACCAUCUCCUCCACGAGCAUCACCUGUGCCGCCAUCUCCACCUCCACGAGUCUCAUCAACAAGACCCUACAAAAUUAAAAUAUUAAUAACGGAGUCCCCAAAAUAGAUCAUAUUUAUAUUAUUUUAGUUUGUGUUCUACAAGUGUUGUUCAGUUUCGCAAACAGGGCGAUAACUCGGUCUCCGUAUGUCGGAAUCGAGUACCGUCAGUUGUAACGCGUGUCUAAUACCUACGCGGUGCUGUGUGUGUGUUUGCGUGGCGUUCGGACGGACGAUGCGGGUUUCGGGCUCUUUUUCGGCUUUUUGGCUAAGUGUUGUUCAGUUUCGCAAACAGGGCGAUAACUCGGUCUCCGUAUGUCGGAAUCGAGUACCGUCAGUUGUAACGCGUGCCUAAUACCUACGCGGUGCUGUGUGUGUGUUUGCGUGGCGUUCGGACGGACGAUGCGGGUUUCGGGCUCUUUUUCGGCUUUUUGGCUAAGUGUUGUUCAGUUUCGCAAACAGGGCGAUAACUCGGUCUCCGUAUGUCGGAAUCGAGUACCGUCAGUUGUAACGCGUGCCUAAUACCUACGCGGUGCUGUGUGUGUGUUUGCGUGGCGUUCGGACGGACGAUGCGGGUUUCGGGCUCUUUUUCGGCUUUUUGGCUAAGUGUUGUUCAGUUUCGCAAACAGGGCGAUAACUCGGUCUCCGUAUGUCGGAAUCGAGUACCGUCAGUUGUAACGCGUGCCUAAUACCUACGCGGUGCUGUGUGUGUGUUUGCGUGGCGUUCGGACGGACGAUGCGGGUUUCAGGAUCUUUUUCGGCUUUUUGCCUAAGUGUUGUUCAAUUUCGCAAACAGGGCGAUAACUCGGUCUCCGUAUGUCGGAAUCGAGUACCGUCAGUUAUAACGCGUGCCUAAUACCUACGUGGUGCUGUGUGUGUCUAAUGGUGUUAGGGUUUUAUCUUAUGUUUAUCUAAGCAAUACAAUUAAAAAUUACAUAAAUUAAAUAAGGAAAUACAGAAUUUAAUUAUUUUUACCUGUCGAAUAUGUGGUGGGAAGAUGUUGGCCAAGACAACUGCACACACGCGGAUGGCCUCCUCCCGUACUACACCCAUGAGAUCAUCAACGGCAGCUGUAGGAUCGAUAGAGCCGUGGACAGCCUCCUGAGCCAGCUGAUAUAUCCGCUCGCGUGAUGGUGCGCCUGACUGCACAACACCGCUCGACAUGCACCCCUCUAUGAUCCACCGGAAGAAGUCAUCGGAUAAUGAAGGGCCGGCGCCCGAUCCACUCGCACCACUACCUCCAGUGGGUGGGCGUCGUCGAGAUCUCGCAGCAGGGACUAGGGUGUAAGCUGGGACAUGGGGAAUGCCCACAACUCUACCCUUCUUCGGUCCCCCUGUAGCCUGCAGCCAGUCCUCUAUCUCCUCGUCUGCACACGUAGACUCGUCUACUGGAGUGUCACCUCUCUGGCUGCUCCGGGCCACUGCAAGAUCUUCGAACCGUCGCUGACAAAAAACACAUUAGUGGAUGAUACGCAAAGUAUAAAAUGAAAUAAUAUAAAAGAAUAUCCGAAUUUUAAAUACAUAUUAAAUAAGAGCAUUAAAUAACUUACAGCAAUGCGUUCUGCCUCAGGUGAGAUAUAACCACCGUCACCUUUCUUUUGGUGGGCGUGCCACCAAAACUCCAAGCGGGAGGGUGCAUGCUUUAAACUCACCUCAAGUCUCUCCCGGUACAGGUCGUACGACUGAGACCCAGUGCAGUGUGGGAGACGACUCUG